UACGUAGGGGGCAAGCGUUGUCCGGAAUCAUUGGGCGUAAAGAGCGUGUAGGCGGCCCGGUAAGUCCGCUGUAAAAGUCAAAGGCUCAACCUUUGAAUGUCAGUGGAUACUGCCGGGCUAGAGUCCGGAAGAGGCGAGUGGAACUCCUGGUGUAGCGGUGGAAUGCGCAGAUAUCAGGAAGAACACCAACGGCGAAGGCAGCUCGCUAGGACGGUACUGACGCUGAGACGCGAAAGCGUGGGGAGCGAACAGG
Molecule: ribosomal RNA, 253 nt
Filed under: uncultured bacterium
Lineage: Bacteria
Description: partial 16S ribosomal RNA
Rfam family: Bacterial small subunit ribosomal RNA
Source: RNAcentral